RNAcentral lists this ribosomal RNA (380 nucleotides) under uncultured eukaryote. Its description in RNAcentral is "partial 18S ribosomal RNA". It matches the Rfam family "Eukaryotic small subunit ribosomal RNA", at positions 592 to 976 of the family's 1831-position model. The record is from RNAcentral.
CAAUAGCGUAUAUUAAAGUUGUUGCGGUUAAAAAGCUCGUAGUUGGAUUUCUGCUGAGAACGACCGGUCCGCCCUUUGGGUGUGUAUCUGGCUCUUUCUUGGCAUCUUCUUGGUGAACGUUGCUGCACUUGACUGUGUGGAGCGCUACCCAGGACUUUUACUUUGAGGAAAUUAGAGUGUUUCAAGCAGGCAUACGCCUUGAAUACAUUAGCAUGGAAUAAUAAGAUAGGACCUCGGUUCUAUUUUGUUGGUUUCUAGAGCUGAGGUAAUGAUUAAUAGGGAUAGUUGGGGGCAUUCGUAUUUAACUGUCAGAGGUGAGAUUCUUGGAUUUGUUAAAGACGGACUACUGCGAAANCANNNGCCAAGGAUGUUUUCAUNGA